Molecule: ribosomal RNA, 518 nt
Filed under: uncultured fungus
Lineage: Eukaryota; Fungi
Description: SSU rRNA
Rfam family: Eukaryotic small subunit ribosomal RNA
Source: RNAcentral
AUAAAAAACCAAUGCCCUUUUGGGCUCCUUGGUGAUUCAUAAUAACUUAACGAAUCGCAUGGCCUUGCGCCGGCGAUGGUUCAUUCAAAUUUCCGCCCUAUCAACUUUCGAUUGUAAGAUAGAGGCUUACAAUGGUCUUAACGGGUAACGGGGAAUUAGGGUUCUAUUCCGGAGAGGGAGCCUGAGAAACGGCUACCACAUCCAAGGAAGGCAGCAGGCGCGCAAAUUACCCAAUCCCGAUACGGGGAGGUAGUGACAAUAAAUACUGAUACGGGGCUCUUUCGGGUCUCGUAAUUGGUAUGAGUACAAUCUAAAUCCCUUAACGAGGAACAAUUGGAGGGCAAGUCUGGUGCCAGCAGCCGCGGUAAUUCCAGCUCCAAUAGCGUAUAUUAAAGUUGUUGCCGUUAAAAAGCUCGUAGUUGAACCUUGGACCUGGCUGAUCUGUCCUCCUAAUCGAGCGCACGGAUUCGGUCGGGUCUUUCCUUCUGGGGAGCCCCAUGCCCUUCACUGGGUGUGGC